Molecule: ribosomal RNA, 211 nt
Filed under: uncultured bacterium
Lineage: Bacteria
Description: partial 16S ribosomal RNA
Source: RNAcentral
UACGUAGGGACCAAGCGUUGUUCGGAUUUACUGGGCGUAAAGGGCGCGUAGGCGGGCUACGUUCGAAAGCAUCGAUCGAUUGUCGUUAAAGUUCGUCCGAAAAGCUUUCAAUCCCGGGUCCGGUUAAAACCCCGGGGUACGCGAAAGCCAAUGGAUUGAAUACCUUGGUUCCGGGUGACCUUCGAAGGAUGGUACCAGGGAAAAGGGGGGG